GAUAAUUUGGACUGCUUUAUUAACUAGAGAAAAAAUAUUACAAAAGUAGGGUUUUACUAAGCUAUAACUUCUAGAAGUCAAACUACUGUAUAUACAUUUACCAAUGAGUUUGGAUCAAUUAGCUAUAGAAAAGGCUAUUGGCUGUUAUAAUGAACUUCAAUGCAGUCUUUGUUGUCCUCAUUAGAACUACAAGCAUUGCUGAAAUUGGCUUGCAACUGUUAAACCUAUUGAUAGCAUCUCUAGCUUCAGAACCCAAGGCAACUUUUGCAGCUUUAAUAAUGCAUCCCUGUUCUGGAUGCUGCUUCAUUCACUUAUUUUUCCAGUUAUGGUCACCUGUGUCCGUUCAGAGGCUACUCUUCUAUUAGCUUCUCUAAAGCACAAUUCAUGGAUAUAUUUCUCAUGCACUACCACUUCUUUACUUUCUUUAGUGCAUGAGGACAAAAUAUGUAAUGCACGAGCUACUAAAUCUUGAAUGAGUCUUCUUAUGGCUUGAAGAUGAUGUCUCACUGCAAUUUUGCGGGAAGCCUGAGUUUUCCUUAAACUGCUUUGGAGUAGAACCUAAGUUCAAACUACAAUAAGGAGUGCAUAUCUCCUAAACAAUAUAAAUCAUAAAACUUAUUUUUACAUGUAACAUUCUAAUACUAGAGAUGAUCUGAACUUUUAUCUUCAUAAAUUUACAUUCUAGUACUGAUGAGGAUAUGAG
Molecule: long non-coding RNA, 703 nt
Filed under: Lupinus angustifolius (narrow-leaved blue lupine)
Lineage: Eukaryota; Viridiplantae; Streptophyta; Magnoliopsida; Fabales; Fabaceae
Description: long non-coding RNA (LANG_LNC002701)
Source: RNAcentral